UCGUAACAAGGUUUCCGUAGGUGAACCUGCGGAAGGAUCAUUACCGAGUGAGGGCCCUCUGGGUCCAACCUCCCACCCGUGUUUAUCGUACCUUGUUGCUUCGGCGGGCCCGCCUCACGGCCGCCGGGGGGCAUCCGCCCCCGGGCCCGCGCCCGCCGAAGACACACAAACGAACUCUUGUCUGAAGAUUGCAGUCUGAGUACUUGACUAAAUCAGUUAAAACUUUCAACAACGGAUCUCUUGGUUCCGGCAUCGAUGAAGAACGCAGCGAAAUGCGAUAAGUAAUGUGAAUUGCAGAAUUCAGUGAAUCAUCGAGUCUUUGAACGCACAUUGCGCCCCCUGGUAUUCCGGGGGGCAUGCCUGUCCGAGCGUCAUUGCUGCCCUCAAGCACGGCUUGUGUGUUGGGCUCUCGCCCCCCGCUUCCGGGGGGCGGGCCCGAAAGGCAGCGGCGGCACCGCGUCCGGUCCUCGAGCGUAUGGGGCUUCGUCACCCGCUCUGUAGGCCCGGCCGGCGCCCGCCGGCGAACACCAUCAAUCUUAACCAGGUUGACCUC
RNAcentral lists this ribosomal RNA (553 nucleotides) under Penicillium oxalicum. RNAcentral's name for it is "partial 18S ribosomal RNA". The stretch from base 221 to 374 matches the Rfam family "5.8S ribosomal RNA". Lineage: Eukaryota; Fungi; Ascomycota; Eurotiomycetes; Eurotiales; Aspergillaceae. The record is from RNAcentral.